Centrocercus urophasianus (Greater sage-grouse) is the source of this 1222-nucleotide long non-coding RNA. RefSeq lists it as uncharacterized. Lineage: Eukaryota; Metazoa; Chordata; Aves; Galliformes; Phasianidae. The record is from RefSeq and is a predicted model, not a curated record. The transcript is spliced from 2 exons.
GACUGAGCUGUGCUGGUGCGAGCUGAGCUGUGACGGUGCGGCGGGCCGGUACCGGUACCAGUACCAGAACCAGGCUGAGUUCGCGGUGGUCUGUGUGUGCCGGGAGACGCCGAGAUGUCUCAGAGUCACAGCGGUACACGAGGAGGGAGCUUCGUUUUACUGCUCCUCGUAGCUGCUGCUCUCCGGUUCUGACAGGAAUUCGUUAUUUUAUUUAUUUUUGUUUGUUUUCUUUCUGAGGUAAAAUCCACAGGAGGCACGGAGCGAGUGGCCUAGCAGGGUCCGCAGCCCCCAGCUCUCUUGUCACCAGCUUCUCUCUUCCAUUAAUAACCUUCACAGGAGAUUUAUUCUCACCCAGGAAUCCUUUUUAGCUUUUAAGCUGGCUCCUUCAAGGCAGAAUUAUGCCCCACUAGCAAGGGAUCUGGGGAGAGAACUGCGAUUCUUUUGUUUCACUGAACAAAAACUGAUUCAUCACUUUCCUUACAUCACCUCUCAGCUCUCUAGCUUCUCAACACAGAGAUUGGUAUGGCUUUCCCUUAGGUAAGUUGCAAAUCACAGCAGCUGUGUAUUUGCUGGGAGUCAGCACUCAGUGUUAUUAAAGUGGUAUAAAUGUAUGUAAUCAUACGAGAUGUAAUUAUCAGAGAUACUGCAGAAGUAGUUUCCUGAAGAGAGUGAAAUAAAUAUGAAAUUGGGAUAUUGGAACAAGCUGAAUUGCGAGAACGAGCUGUGAAAAGCUGUGAGAAUGACUGGAAAAAAUAAAAGUCAAUAUGAAGCUGAGAGAUGGGGAGAGACUUACGAAAUAGGGUUAUAGACAAUGAAAAGAAGUUCUGAUGUGGGGCUAAGCAGUAAGAUCAGCUGAAUCAGGCAGAUACAUUUGCUAUGUCUGUGCUGGGACUCUGUAAUUCUACUGUUUCCUCUGACUAAGUAUGAGUUUCUGCAAGAAUUACAGUUGAUUUGUUUUUUUUUAUUCAGUGAAUGGGCUAAGAUAUCAAGAAGAGAACACCAGCUUUGGGGGCUGGCUGCCAUCAGUGUGUUGAGGCGAACGCGCAAGGCACAAAAUCAGGUUCCACAGUCAGUCUGAAUUUUUUUGCAUGUAACUGUUGUGUGAGUGCAUUUCACAGUGUGACCUACUGCGUUGUUUUAACAUAUGUAUGCGUGAAUAUUUUGUGAAACAAUUUACUAUGAGAGAAGCUUCAAAUAAAACUGCCCAUUUUAUUGUCUCCCA